RNAcentral lists this ribosomal RNA (468 nucleotides) under uncultured bacterium. RNAcentral's name for it is "partial 16S ribosomal RNA". It matches the Rfam family "Bacterial small subunit ribosomal RNA", at positions 28 to 507 of the family's 1533-position model. The record is from RNAcentral.
GACGAACGCUGGCGGCGUGCUUAACACAUGCAAGUCGAACGGAAAGGCCCUGCUUUUGUGGGGUGCUCGAGUGGCGAACGGGUGAGUAACACGUGAGUAACCUGCCCUAGUCUUUGGGAUAACUUCAGGAAAGUGGGGCUAAUACCGGAUCGGAGCUCCUGCUGCAUGGUGGGGGUUGGAAAGUUUCGGCGGUUGGGGAUGGACUCGCGGCUUAUCAGCUUGUUGGUGGGGUAGUGGCUUACCCAGGCUUUGACGGGUAGGCGGCCUGAGAGGGUGACCGGCCACAUUGGGACUGAGAUACGGCGCAGACUCCUACGGGAGGCAGCAGUGGGGAAUAUUGCACAAUGGGCGGAAGCCUGAUGCAGCAACGCCGCGUGCGGGAUGACGGCCUGCGGGUAGUAAACCGCUUUCGCUUGUGACGAAGCGGGAGUGACGGUAAUGGGUAAAGAAGCACCGGCUAACUACGUG